CUGAGGAAGGAAGGAAACAGGAUGGAGCCAGGAGGAGACCUGGAGGAGGCACAUGGAGCCGAGAGACACGUGAAGAAACUGCGUUUGUCUUUUGCUCGUGGACGGGGUGACACAGAUGUUGUGGGGUAUUAUUGCAGCUUCAGAAGUGUUGCAGAAUUUGUAAGAGAGCCUUUGAGAAAAGGACACAAGCCUCAAAAGUCCUCAAUGAUUUGCUUGCUCCCUUUAAGACCUUCAGAAACUCUUGAGGCCAAGAAGUUAGAAGUUGCCUUCUGACCUUGCAGAAUUCCAAGCACACAGCUCAGUCUUGGGUUCCCAGCUCUUGUGGACACUGAGGAGGUGACCCGUGUUCCCAGUGUGCCAGUUGACAGCCCAGUGAUGGCUGGAGAACACUCUGGAGGCCCCAAGAGUCAUCUGUCAUGUGAGCUCAACGGCCAGCUAACCCCACUUGAUGGGACGGGGCUGGAGGCGACUGAGGGCUGCCGGGCCUCUGCCCCCUGGGAAGGAACACAGAGCGUCUCUUGAGAGGUUCAGAGCCCCUUCUUUCCACUGGGCUUCCCCACAUUUAUCUUGCAUGACUCUCCAAGCUGGAAUUUGACCUGUGAAGCCCUGAUUCCUUUUCCAUGUGAUUCUUCUGAGCUAUGGCUUCCACAUUGCAUUGCCAAGGCCAAUCAUACUGUUGUACGACUGUAACAGAGAUGCCCCAGGAACAAAAUCGAAUGGCAGCUGCUUACUAAAGCAGCUGGGGGAUGGAACUGAAUUCAAUGAAACUGAUUGUGGUCAGCCCAGCUCUCUCACCUCGCCAAGGCUAAAGGUGAGCUGUGGAAGUUCAAUGGUGAGCUCUGGUUCCCAGAAGCAGCUAGUUGUAGCAAUGAUCCUGGGGUCCAGAUCUCCUGCUUAUCCUUUUCUUAGAAUGGACUUCCCAUCUGUUUUACACGCAUAGUCAAGAGGGAAAGACGAUUCUUGUUCCAACACAUAUGCCUGCAGAGUUUCUGAGCAAAGUACCAGUGCUCUGCUGUGUCCCAGAGACUCAGAUGUCACAGUUUUCAGACAAAGGAGAUAAUGAUGAGGAUUACGUGUUGUGCUGGGAAGAUGUUUUCUCAUCUUAAAAAGCAAAACAAGAGGAAAAGCUGUCUCCCCCCCUGCACCCCUCUCUUGCCUUGGAGUUUGGACUGGGCUUAGGAAGUCACUUCUAAAGAACAGAGUCUGGUGAAGGAAGAGCAAAAACUUCACAGGGAACGAAAUAUUAACUAAAGCAGCUAUCAUCAGUGUUACGGUGUGGCCACAUGACUGCCUGAUAUGAGAAGGAUGCCUUUGUGCUAUUGUCUUCCCAAACCCACAGCCCUGGCUAACCACAAGGAAAACUCAGACUGGGGCUGCUCUGCAGCUCCCUGGUCAGUACCCACCCCCUGGCCAGUACACAAUAAUGGAAACAAGAAAGACCAACCAGAAGCUACCAGGGAGAUCCAACAGUUACACGCAAGGUACCACCCUGGGUUGGAUCUUGGGACUGACAACAGUUCAAAUAAAUUCUGGAAGUUAGUUAACAGUAAUGUACCGAAUUUUAAUGUAAAU
Molecule: long non-coding RNA, 1572 nt
Organism: Talpa occidentalis (Iberian mole)
Lineage: Eukaryota; Metazoa; Chordata; Mammalia; Eulipotyphla; Talpidae
Exons: 5
Source: RefSeq, a predicted model, not a curated record